AGCUCAUACUGCAGUUACUCUGCGUGCCCAGCCUGCUCCCUGCUGGGGCUGUACUCUGUGCCAAAAUGCAGGCUUAGGUGGUAGCUAUACCUCUCUGGAGCUGCCGUGGGAGCUGCUGUCGUCAGCGACGCGGUGCCGUUCGCCAGCGUGCAGUUGAGGGUCAACAGUUGCAGAGGGAUGGACUUCGUUGGUGGUGCAGGGUAAAUGAAAGAGCCAGUACCAGCCCAAAAAGCCAAGGUGAUCCCAGCUAAGAGGCCUCCAAGAGCACCCUUGGCAAGUGUAGAAAGAUGCUGUUAAAGCAAGAAAUACCUGCACGACUCCUCCCAUCAGCGACGCUGCUGCAGCCAUGGAAGUGCACAGGACGCCGUAUAAAACACCUGGAAAAGAUCAGGAAAGAAAAAUAAAACAGACCAGAUGCUGCACUUGAGCUGUCUGAAAAGGCAUGGCUAAUCAGCUUUUUAACAGGGUGUGAUGACUAGGCACAGCUCCAUGACACAGCACUGUCUGAGAACUGACACCACUGGAGGAGAAACAAGUAAUCUGGAAAUGAUAAUAUAGAAAUUAGAACACACCUGUAUAGAAGGCUUGGACUAACACUGUUUUGGAAACAAGUGGCUUGGAAUGAGUUUUUUCCCCUUGGAGAUAUGAGUGAAAUUUGUGAGACUGCUUUUAUAUUGUUCUGAUGGAGACACAGGCAGUGUGAUUAAGCGUCUUGCUUACAAAUGAGUAGCAGUAAAGUAAAGUACCACUCUUG
Long non-coding RNA from Pseudopipra pipra, 754 nucleotides. RefSeq lists it as uncharacterized. The record is from RefSeq and is a predicted model, not a curated record. The transcript is spliced from 4 exons. NCBI's taxonomy places the organism in Eukaryota, Metazoa, Chordata, Aves, Passeriformes, Pipridae.